AUGGGGAGCUCGGAUAUGGCGUCGCAGCCGCAGAGCGACAGCGUCAAGGUGGCAGUCAACGUCCGGCCGCUCAUCACGCCGGAGCUCGUCCUCGGAUGCACGGACUGCGUCACCGUCACGCCGGGCGAGCCGCAGGUUCAAAUUGGCCCACACAUCUUCACUUAUGAUCAUGUCUACGGCAGCACGGGGUCUUCUUCCUCGUUGAUAUUUGAGCAAUGUGUGUAUCCACUAAUCGACUCAUUGUUCUGUGGAUACAACACCACUGUGCUAGCUUAUGGCCAGACUGGAUCCGGGAAGACAUAUACGAUGGGGACCAAUUAUUCUGGUGAAUCUAACUGUGGAGGAAUAAUUCCACAAGUCAUGGAGACGAUAUUCAAGAAAGCUGAUGCAAUGAAGGGUGAUACAGAGUUCUUAAUUAGGGUAUCCUUCAUUGAGAUAUUCAAGGAGGAAGUAUUCGAUUUGCUUGAUGAUCCUGGGUCUGUUGCAAAAGCAGCAGCGCCUGCUAGAGUGCCUAUUCAGAUUCGAGAAACUGCAAAUGGAAGCAUUACGCUUGCUGGCGUGACGGAGGCUGAAGUCAAGUCAAAAGAAGAAAUGGCCUUGCACUUGGCACGAGGAUCUUUGUCACGCGCAACUGGAAGUACAAACAUGAAUAGCCAGUCAAGUCGCUCUCAUGCUAUUUUUACGAUAUCUAUCGAACAAAAGAGGACCUCAAGUUCUGCAUCUGAGAAGUCAACUAGUAAUGAAUAUGAUAUUUUAUCAUCAAAAUUUCAUCUAGUUGACUUGGCUGGUUCUGAGAGGGCUAAACGAACAGGAGCUGAUGGAUUACGGCUUAAAGAAGGGAUACACAUAAACAGAGGCCUUCUUGCUCUUGGCAAUGUUAUUAGUGCAUUAGGUGAUGAAAAGAAGCGGAAAGAAGGAGCAUUUGUCCCAUACCGGGACAGCAAAUUAACUCGCCUGCUGCAGGACUCUCUAGGAGGAAACAGUAAAACCGUUAUGAUUGCUUGCAUUAGUCCUGCUGAUUCUAAUGCAGAGGAAACCAUAAAUACACUCAAGUAUGCCAAUCGUGCUCGGAAUAUUCAAAACAAAGCAGUGAUCAACAGAGACCCAGUUACAGCAGAGAUGCAAAAAUUGAGGAGUCAAUUAGAGCAGCUCCAGAGUGAACUUCUGUUUUCCCGCAGUGGGAGUGCGGCACUAGAAGAACUUCAGCUGCUGCAACAAAAAGUCUCUCUACUUGAGUUAAAAAAUUCAGAACUGUACUGUGAGCUCAAGGAAAGGGAAAUGUCUUGUGAACAGUUAGCACAGCGUGCAGUUGCUGCCCAGCUGGAAAAGGAUCAGCUCAUGUUAAAGCUCGAUUCAGCACGCAAUGGAAAAUCGUGGGAUGAUAUUGAAAAUGCCGGUAGUGAGCAGGAUGUGGACCUUAUGAAGACCUAUAUAUCGAAGAUUCAGCAGUUGGAGGCUGAAGUAACACGGCAGAAGUUCUCCACUGCCUGUAGAAAUGGUUUGCAUGAUCGACUUGCACUGGAUAAGGGCAUGCUUCUAGACGAUCUAGGUUCAGGUUGUGAAGUAGGAACGCUCGAAGUGUCAAGUGAAGUUGAUGAAGAAGAAAAGGAAAGAGAACAUUCAUCCAUACAGGAGAAACUGGAUAUGGAGCUGCAAGAUCUAGAUAAAAGACUUCAGCAAAAGGAGGCUGAGAUGAAACAAUUUGCGAAGAGUGAUACCUCUGUUCUCAAGCAACAUUAUGAGACGAAGUUACAUGAGAUGGAACAAGAAAAGAAGGCUUUUCAGAAAGAAAUUGAGGAUCUCCGUCAUGCACUAGCAAAAAUAUCUUCCUCAACUGAUGAGUGCUCACACAAAAUGAAAGAGAACUAUCUUCAGAAGAUGAACAUGCUUGAAACUCAGGUCUCUCAGCUCAAGAAAAAGCAGGAUGCUCACCAACAGUUGCUACGACAGAAACACAAAAGUGAUGAUGCAGCUAUGCGUUUACAAGGAGAAAUUCAACGCAUCAAAUCUCAGAAGGUUCAACUUCAACAAAAGAUCAAACAAGAAUCCGAGCAAUUUAGAUCUUGGAAAGCGGCUCGUGAAAAGGAAGUGCUCCAGCUGAAGAAGGAAGGGAGACGGAAUGAAUAUGAGAUGCAUAAACUCCUAGCUUUAAAUCAGAAGCAGAAAAUGGUUUUACAGCGAAAAACUGAAGAAGCUACGAUGGCCACGAAAAGACUGAAAGAUUUGCUCGAAGCAAAGAAGUCCACCCGUGAUGCUCAUGGAACAGGCGCAUCAGGGAUUCAGGCCUUGAUGCGAACGAUUGAUGAUGAACUUGAAGUAACUGUAAGGGCGUAUGAAUUACGUUCACACUAUGACCGACAAAUACAAGAGAGAGCAACAAUAUCUAAGGAAAUAGCAAAGCUGAAGGAGUGUCCCGAGGCUAUGUCUCCUAGCGCUAGGAGUUCCAGAAUAUCAGCACUGGAAAACAUGCUGUCAUCAUCAUCUAGUGCUAUGGUAUCAAUGGCUUCUCAACUGUCUGAAGCGGAGGAGCGGGAGCGUGUGUUCAAUGGUAGAGGCAGAUGGAACCAUGUAAGGUCCCUGCCUGAUGCAAAGAACACAAUGAAUUACCUUUUUCAGUUAGCAUCAUCUUCAAGGUGCCAACUACAUGAUAAGGAGGUGAUGUGUAUAGAGAAGGAUCUCAUCAUUGGAGAACUGAAAGAAAAGGUGGUUGCGCUUAAUGGCAGAACUAGACAGUUAGAAGCACAAGUUAAUGAUCUACAUAACCAAAAUAUGCAGCUUUUCGCUGCAAUGAACAAUGCGAAGAAAUCUGGUAGGGCCUCAAGGCGUGAUACUACUAUUGAUCCAGAAGAUGGUCAAAUUUAUGCUUUGCGGAAGAGUGCUCGAGGUUCUCAAUUCCAGCAUGGUAAGAGCAGCUUCUACUGGUCGGAUGACAUGGACAUAUCAGAUGCUGAUGAGUCGGGAGAAUUAGAAGAUAUGAGUGAUGAUGGAUCUGAUACAGACUGGGUAGAGUCAUCCAGGAAAAUCAAUAAUACACGGCGGCGAACAUCUAACCCGAGUAGAAACAAUUCACUUACAGAUGUGAAGUCAGAGAUGCCUAGUGAGGAAAUUCCCACUAUCCAGAAAGAGCAUGCUUCUUCACAGUGCUGCUCGUGUUCAUCGAAAUCGUUGUGCAAGCUCACCAGAUAUUGUGAGUGCAGAGCUCUAGGCUCACAAUGCGGUACUGGUUGCGGGUGUAAUGCUUCCAAGUGUUCCAAUAGGAUGCGCGUCGUCAAGGAAGAAAUAGACGAUGAACCACCAUCCGAGAAGGAAGGGAGCGAGUUUGGUAACGUUUCUUCUUCAGGGAAUGAUGCCAAAAUGAAGGAAGAAGUGAAGCAAGGAAUCAUGCUUCUCGAGAAUGCUGUGGCUGAGAAGGAAACUCAGCAGCCAAAAUCAAGAAAGCCAUUGGCGGACAUUGGAAAUAACGAUGCAAAACAAGCUGGGGCAAAACCUAAGCAGAGGAAGAACUGGCGCAAGUCGGCAACAAUCCAGCUCGUCCCUACGGAGCCUCCUGCACCAGCCCCAGCCUCUGCGCCGGAUAACGCCGAAGCCGCUCCGCAGAACAGAGCCGACAUUCCCCUGAGGCUGCCGAGGGCAAUGUCCUCUGUGUCCGCUGCGGAGAGUAACCCUCUUACAGACCGCAAUGCCACCAAGGCAGGCGAGUCCGUGAGCAGCAACAAGGAGAACGGCAGCGUUGCCACGACGAGGGUACCGGCUCCGGCUCCGGCUCGGUCGAGAAAGAAUGCUGCCAUGGAGAAGGAGAACCACCUGGGAUGA
RNAcentral lists this ribosomal RNA (3813 nucleotides) under Triticum aestivum (bread wheat). RNAcentral describes it as "partial small subunit ribosomal RNA". Lineage: Eukaryota; Viridiplantae; Streptophyta; Magnoliopsida; Poales; Poaceae. The record is from RNAcentral.